Pelobates cultripes (western spadefoot toad) is the source of this 125-nucleotide non-coding RNA. The record is from the annotation of a GenBank genome assembly. Lineage: Eukaryota; Metazoa; Chordata; Amphibia; Anura; Pelobatidae.
CUGCAACAGCUGGGUCCACAUUUUGCCCACCCUGCAAAAAAAAUAAAUUAAAUAAUUAUAUAUUUAUAUUUUUUUAAUGUUUGCAUUUUUGCAGGGUGGGCAAAAUGUGGACCCAGCUGUUGCAG